This 912-nucleotide ribosomal RNA is filed under the name uncultured marine bacterium. Its description in RNAcentral is "bacterial SSU rRNA". It matches the Rfam family "Bacterial small subunit ribosomal RNA", at positions 8 to 916 of the family's 1533-position model. The record is from RNAcentral.
AGAGUUUGAUCCUGGCUCAGGAUGUACGCUAGCGGCAGGCUUAACACAUGCAAGUCGAGGGGUAACAGGGAAAAGCUUGCUUUUCCGCUGACGACCGGCGCACGGGUGCGUAACGCGUAUAGAACCUACCUUUUACUGAGGGAUAGCCUUUAGAAAUGAAGAUUAAUACCUCAUAGUAUUUUAGAUUGGCAUCGAUUUAAAAUUAAAGAUUUAUUGGUAAAAGAUGGCUAUGCGUCCUAUUAGUUAGUUGGUGAGGUAACGGCUCACCAAGACAGCGAUAGGUAGGGGUCCUGAGAGGGAGAUCCCCCACACUGGUACUGAGACACGGACCAGACUCCUACGGGAGGCAGCAGUGAGGAAUAUUGGACAAUGGGCGAGAGCCUGAUCCAGCCAUGCCGCGUGCAGGAAGAAUGCCCUAUGGGUUGUAAACUGCUUUUAUACGGGAAGAAACACCCCCUCGUGAGGGGGCUUGACGGUACCGUAAGAAUAAGCACCGGCUAACUCCGUGCCAGCAGCCGCGGUAAUACGGAGGGUGCAAGCGUUAUCCGGAAUCAUUGGGUUUAAAGGGUCCGCAGGCGGUCAAUUAAGUCAGAGGUGAAAUCCCAUAGCUUAACUAUGGAACUGCCUUUGAUACUGGUUGACUUGAGUUAUACGGAAGUAGAUAGAAUGUGUAGUGUAGCGGUGAAAUGCAUAGAUAUUACACAGAAUACCGAUUGCGAAGGCAGUCUACUACGUAUAUACUGACGCUCAUAGACGAAAGCGUGGGGAGCGAACGGGAUUAGAUACCCCGGUAGUCCACGCCGUAAACGAUGGACACUAGUUGUUGGGAUUUAUCUCAGUGACUAAGCGAAAGUGAUAAGUGUCCCACCUGGGGAGUACGGUCGCAAGAUUGAAACUCAAAGGAAUUGACGG